Lycium ferocissimum is the source of this 420-nucleotide long non-coding RNA. RefSeq lists it as uncharacterized. The record is from RefSeq and is a predicted model, not a curated record. NCBI's taxonomy places the organism in Eukaryota, Viridiplantae, Streptophyta, Magnoliopsida, Solanales, Solanaceae. The transcript has 3 exons.
UAAGAUUCGGCGCCAGUGGGUCCAUAGGAGCGACCCAUUCAGGAGCAUUCUCAUCAGCCUGCCGAGGCAGAGGUGUCUUCUCAUGAGACUACCGAGGCGCAGCAUCUCGUCUAGGAGACUACCUCAUAUUCACCACCAGACCUAUCUCAGGAGCCUACAGACCCAUCUCAGGAGCCUACUCAGGCGCUCGUUGACACACAGGUUCAUCCUUCGGCGCCUGCGGUGGCGACUCUCGACGAGGAAGAGGUCGAGUUUUCAGACCCAGGUCAGCAUGAGGUUCUGCCCGUGCUAGCGGGACCAGAUCUCAAGAAGAAGCACAUUCUAGUCAAGGACGCACGGGCCAGGGGAAGAGGAGAUGAUCAUGACUUGGAGCGCCCGGUUAUUAAGAGGAAAAAGGGCGAUGGAAGCGAUGGCGAGGGC